GAUGAACGCUGGCGGCGUGCCUAAUACAUGCAAGUAGAACGCUGAAGGAGGAGCUUGCUCUUCUGGAUGAGUUGCGAACGGGUGAGUAACGCGUAGGUAACCUGCCUGGUAGCGGGGGAUAACUAUUGGAAACGAUAGCUAAUACCGCAUGACAACAGUUAUUGCAUGAUAACUGUUUAAAAGGGGCAACUGCUCCACUACCAGAUGGACCUGCGUUGUAUUAGCUAGUUGGUGAGGUAACGGCUCACCAAGGCGACGAUACAUAGCCGACCUGAGAGGGUGCUCGGCCACACUGGGACUGAGACACGGCCCAGCCUCCUACGGGAGGCAGCAGUAGGGAAUCUUCGGCAAUGGACGGAAGUCUGACCGAGCAACGCCGCGUGAGUGAAGAAGGUUUUCGGAUCGUAAAGCUCUGUUGUAAGAGAAGAACGAGUGUGAGAGUGGAAAGUUCACACUGUGACGGUAUCUUACCAGAAAGGGACGGCUAACUACGUG
This 495-nucleotide ribosomal RNA is filed under the name uncultured bacterium. Its description in RNAcentral is "partial 16S ribosomal RNA". It matches the Rfam family "Bacterial small subunit ribosomal RNA", at positions 28 to 507 of the family's 1533-position model. The record is from RNAcentral.